RNAcentral lists this transfer RNA (77 nucleotides) under Nitella hyalina. RNAcentral describes it as "tRNA-Ala". It matches the Rfam family "tRNA". From Rfam's summary of the family: Transfer RNA (tRNA) molecules are approximately 80 nucleotides in length. Their secondary structure includes four short double-helical elements and three loops (D, anti-codon, and T loops). Further hydrogen bonds mediate the characteristic L-shaped molecular structure. tRNAs have two regions of fundamental functional importance: the anti-codon, which is responsible for specific mRNA codon recognition, and the 3' end, to which the tRNAs corresponding amino acid is attached (by aminoacyl-tRNA synthetases). tRNAs cope with the degeneracy of the genetic code in two manners: having more than one tRNA (with a specific anti-codon) for a particular amino acid; and 'wobble' base-pairing, i.e. permitting non-standard base-pairing at the 3rd anti-codon position. Lineage: Eukaryota; Viridiplantae; Streptophyta; Charophyceae; Charales; Characeae. The record is from RNAcentral.
GGGGGUAUAGCUCAGUUGGUAGAGCGCCGCCCUUGCAAGCAUGGCGGAUGUCAGCGGUUCGAGUCCGCUUACCUCCA